RNAcentral lists this ribosomal RNA (468 nucleotides) under uncultured bacterium. RNAcentral describes it as "partial 16S ribosomal RNA". It matches the Rfam family "Bacterial small subunit ribosomal RNA", at positions 28 to 507 of the family's 1533-position model. The record is from RNAcentral.
GACGAACGCUGGCGGCGUGCUUAACAAAUGCAAGUCGAACGGAAAGGCCCGGCUUUGGUGGGUUGCUCGAGUGGCGAACGGGUGAGUAACACGUGAGUAACCUGCCCUUGACUUUGGGAUAACUUCAGGAAACUGGGGCUAAUACCGGAUAGGAGCUCCUGCUGCAUGGGGGGGGUUGGAAAGUUUCGGCGGUUGGGGAUGGACUCGCGGCUUAUCAGCUUGUUGGUGGGGUAGUGGCUUACCAAGGCUUUGACGGGUAGCCGGCCUGAGAGGGUGACCGGCCACAUUGGGACUGAGAUACGGCCCAGACUCCUACGGGAGGCAGCAGUGGGGAAUAUUGCACAAUGGGCGGAAGCCUGAUGCAGCAACGCCGCGUGCGGGAUGACGGCCUUCGGGUUGUAAACCGCUUUCGCCUGUGACGAAGCGUGAGUGACGGUAAUGGGUAAAGAAGCACCGGCUAACUACGUG